RNAcentral lists this ribosomal RNA (468 nucleotides) under uncultured bacterium. RNAcentral's name for it is "partial 16S ribosomal RNA". It matches the Rfam family "Bacterial small subunit ribosomal RNA", at positions 28 to 506 of the family's 1533-position model. The record is from RNAcentral.
GAUGAACGCUGGCGGCGCGCCUAACACAUGCAAGUCGAACGGUUAAAGCACCUUUUAGGUGUGUAUAAAGUGGCGAACGGCUGAGUAACACGUGGGCAACCUGCCCUCCUCUUGGGGAUAGCCUCGGGAAACCGAGGAUAAUACCCGAUACUUCAAUGUGGCCGCAUGACGACAUUGAGAAAGCUUUUGCGGAGAAGGAUGGGCCCGCGGCCUGUUAGCUUGUUGGUGGGGUAGAGGCCUACCAAGGCAAUGAUGGGUAGCUGGGUUGAGAGACCGACCAGCCAGAUGGGGACUGAGACACGGCCCAGACCCCUACGGGGGGCAGAGGGGGGGAAUCUUGAAAAAGGGGCGAAAGCCGGAUGCAGCGACGCCGCGGGGGGGAAGAAGGCCUUCGGUUUGGAAACCGCUUUCAGCAGGGACGGGGCGAUAAGUGACGGUACCUGCAGAAGAAGCCCCGGCUAACUACGU